Molecule: ribosomal RNA, 500 nt
Filed under: uncultured bacterium
Lineage: Bacteria
Description: partial 16S ribosomal RNA
Rfam family: Bacterial small subunit ribosomal RNA
Source: RNAcentral
GACGAACGCUGGCGGCGUGCUUAACACAUGCAAGUCGAACGGGUCUGCCCUGUUUUUUGCGGGGUGGGGCAGUGGCGAACGGGUGAGUAACACGUGAGUAACCUGCCCCUCACUUCUGGGUAACCGCUUGAAAGGGUGGCUAAUACGGGGUGUUCUGGCUGUACCGCAUGGUGUGGCUGGGAAAGGUUCCUUUUGGUGGUGUUUUGGUGGGGGUCGGGGUCGCGGCCUAUCAGCUUGGUGGGGGGGUGAUGGGCUGACAAGGCGUUGACGGGUAGCCGGGAUGGGAGGGUGGGCGGUCAUACUGGGAAGGCGAGACGGCCAAGACUCCGGCGGGAGGCAGCAGGGGGGGGUAUUGCACAAUGGGCGGAAGGCUGAUGCAGCGACGCGGCGUGAGGGAUGGAGGCCUUCGGGUUGUGAACCUCUUUCGCCGGUGAAGAAGGUCCUGCUCUUUGUGGGGGGGUUGACGGUAGCCGGGUUAUGAAGCGCCGGCUAACUACGUG